Long non-coding RNA from Helianthus annuus (common sunflower), 1441 nucleotides. RefSeq lists it as uncharacterized. Lineage: Eukaryota; Viridiplantae; Streptophyta; Magnoliopsida; Asterales; Asteraceae. The record is from RefSeq and is a predicted model, not a curated record. The transcript is spliced from 3 exons.
AGAAAAAUACCUAACAGGCUGCAAGCACUUGAUGGAUAUGAGGUAUAUUCAUAUUUUAUUAGUAUCAAUUUGAUAAAUAUUUUUUUGUUAUUUUGAAUGGUUCAUUAGUGUGUGUUAGAUUUGCCAUACUAUGUUAACUGAAGAGCUCAUUGACUGCUUUGCUUCACUCGGGUUCACCUCACUACAAAUAUAUGGCUAUUAAUCCAUAUAUAUUUAUCUAUUUAAUGUAAACACAAAAUUAUACGGUAAGACAGUCCCGUGGAAGUAUUUUUAUUCAUCACUUUCUGUACGUUUAUUAAUCAUCUAUCCAGUUGCAGAAUAGAAGUUAACACUUUUUUUGUUUUAUGUUUUUUUUAUUGAAAUAGGUAUGAACAAUGCUGGAGAUUGGCUUCUAGCUACUCUUUUGCUGGAAGAAUUUGAAGCGCCCGAUGUCGGCUGAUCUCACGCAUGUGAUGUGACCAAUGAAGAUUAGUAUGCAUAGAUCACUUUUGUAGACAUUAAUAAUAAUGGGUUUAAUGAAGCACUUGAACAUGCAUGAUGGAUUUGAAGUUGGGGGUUACACUUCUUCACAUGGCUAGGAUGACUCUAUUAAUCCCAUACCAGUGUGUAGCCAACACAUGUUAAGAAAAGAACAACACCGGAAUCAAGUCGCUUACUUGCUUAUAUGAAUGUGGAAAAACUUGCGAAUCAGUAAUGGGUCAACACGGCUAAAUUUGAAGUGCAAGUUAAAACAGGUUGGGUUGGUUCAGGUCGGGUCAUGACUUGCGAAUACGUCAUGGAUAUUAGUUACUAAAAUAUGUGAUUUAAAUAUGAUUUAACAAACUAUGCUAUCAAAACAUUAACCUAUUUUUUCUAAUAAAUCAGUUUAGAAUGUUUUAAGCAUUUGAAUAACCUUUUGGGCGACUUUUGACCCCCUUCUUUUUUAAUUCGACCCGUUUAAGAUAAUGCAUAACCAAAUAGUAUCCAUUUUAGGUAAACGGGUCAAAACUGCCACCUAUGGGUUUAGGGUAUUUAAUGACUUAAGUUGUGCUGUUGAAUGCUGGGAGUUUGUAGGCUGCGUACGAUGCAUCGGGAUUUUGUCGUUUUGUCGCCUUCCGAAGUUCAGCAGAUGGGUGAAGAGGGAAUGCAAUUUCUAAACAGCAAUGCAGCAAUACAGGCUAGGAUGAAUGGUGGUCCGAUAUCAGAGAACAGACCCCGCAUUUGGGUUGGCCUUACAUGAACUGAACCGGUCUGAAGUCUGAACCAUCAUGGAUCAAUUGCAUGCAGUGGCCAGAUCACAGCUAGCAAGAUGAGUCUUGGUAUGGUAAUGUGUUAUAUUAGUGAGGAAACAACCCAUUAUUGUAGAUGUAAUGAAGAAUUAUAUUGACAUUUUAAAUGUUGUAUUAAUCAAUCUCUUGAGCAAAGUACUCGUCAUCUUCGAAUUUGUAAUGUAUAAUAACAC